Lynx canadensis (Canada lynx) is the source of this 3546-nucleotide long non-coding RNA. RefSeq lists it as uncharacterized. Lineage: Eukaryota; Metazoa; Chordata; Mammalia; Carnivora; Felidae. The transcript is spliced from 3 exons. The record is from RefSeq and is a predicted model, not a curated record.
GGGGAGAGAGACCCAGGGCCUGGGAGUAACUUGCUGUGUGCUCAUAUGGCCUCUGAACAUAAAUAGCUGUGUGCUUGUCUACCCCAGGAUCAGAGCCUACCCUCAGGUUAUUUCCCAUCACCCACUCUUAUAUUCGCUGUGUCUGAAUCAGUGACUCCCUUCUCAUUAUUCCUUCUACUACCAAUCUUAAAAAUCACCUUCUCCUUGAAGCCUCUUUUGAUUAAUUCAGCUCAUUGUUCAUCCUUUACUAGUGGGUGGUUUGUGCUCUGUUAAUUUUCACUUAGUAUUUUUUUUUCUCCAUGAGUUCCUGUAGGAUUAUUUCAAUGUGUUCAUUGUCAUCCCCGUUAGUCUGGCAGCGCCCUGGGGGUAGAGUCCAUUCUAGGAAUACUUGAAGGCCAUCAUCUUUUUCUUCUGGAUCCUCAUCGUUUGUCCAGCUCAGAGCUAUAAACUCAAGGAUGCUUAGUGCAAGAGGCUGGUAGCAUUGCCUGAUGACCCAGGUCACAAAGCCUUUUUGUGCCAAGGGUGCGUCUGGGGUAAGACUUUGAGGAAGAAGAACUUUCUGUGACUCCUAUGCUGGAAUCAGUCUCUAAGGGCCGGGGUUCACCCCCUGCAGUGCAGAGGUUUUGUUGCUGGACAGGAUGUGAACAUCCUUGAUUUUCUCAUGGUCAAGUUAAGUAACUUGUCUGGGGUCACACUGUGACACAUUCAUUGCCAAACCUGUUCCUUUUGCCAAGUCAGUCCUCCUAUGUGCUUUCUUGCUCAACCCAUGCAGAAUUCUAGAAUUCUCAGGCAGGGAGGGAAUCCAUGGUGGGGUAGGUGGGGUGGGGUCAUGUCAUACAUUUUCCUAAACAGAACACAUGGAAGUCAGAGCCACCAAAGGGGUUGUGCAUUUACCUGUGGUCACCCAUUUCAGCAUUCCACACCCAGUUUAGCUAUUCUUGCAAAUGUCUAAAUUUCUGCUACUGUAGUUUGAUUCUGAGCCCCUCACUCUGUUUUUCCUGCCAAUAUGGGAAUGGGCAGAUGUCUAUGCUCAUUUGCCUAAAAAAGUUACUUGAAAAAUUACUUUCCAAAUUAAAGUACCAUGGUUUCUUGAUUUUUUUCCCCCUUGCUCAAGGCCCAGCCCAACUUCCUGCUGCCAAGUCCAGACCCAUCUCUUCUUAUCACUCACAAACACUAGUGGUUCCAUGGCCAAAGGAAGACAGCAGCUGGCCACUUGGGGCCAUGGCCCUUCAGGGACUAGGGCUCUCUGCGACACAGUGAAAACCCAGAGAAGAUGCAGUAGUUUAUAGGAAGUGCAACAUUCUGGGACUUUUUCCAAAUGACUUUAAGACAAAGCAAUUUCUGAAGAGGUUUAAGCUAAGCACCAAGGUAAGCACCUGGAUGUCAUCGUGCCCAAUCUCUGAUUUUAGAAACAAAGAACUGAAUCUCAGAGCUAGCUAGUGGCAAAGCUAAGGACUGAUCAGGGCCACAGACCUCUUGACUGCUCAGGGAAACCGGAACCUUCUAUGUUUGGUUGUGCUGUGUUGGAAUUGAAGGAGGAAGCAAAACACACAUGCUGUAAGUUGUGGGGACAGAUGACUUCCCUAUGGAUCACUUGCUGCCUACUCCUUUGUCCCCAACAAUGUACCAGGCAGAGUCAAAGCUUCCACAGGUGCAGUCCUACCCUGCUUUCCAGUUCGGAGACCUGUAUUAAGGGGCCAUGGGGCUUUGGUUUCACUUGUAGAUAUGCCUGUGCUCUUUCUUAAGCUUUGGCUCUGCCCUUACCAAAUCUGGGCCUUAUCUUAGUUGGCUAUAAAAUGGGGAGAAUCAUCCCAAUUGCCUUGUCUACUGCCCCAAGGCAGUACAUCUAAGAAAUACUUUGAGUUCCUCAAAGGGAGGGGUGAGGGAAGAGAUUGCUCCAACAAGAGGGCAUGAUUCUCAUGAAGGUGGGGAGACCAGCGCAUUAAAAUCCAACAGCUGUUGGCCUACAGUGCUGGUCAGUUAGAAUGCAUGGGAGUCAACCUCAUGAGUAUUGACUGUGUUAGAUAUUUCUCUUGAAUUAUUUGCACGAUAACCUUAUGGUGUGGGGUCUAAUUUUAUCGGUUUUAUGGAGAAGAAACUGGAAGUCAGCGAGAAAGCUGAAAUAACUUGCCCAAGGUCACUCAGCUAAGUGGUGGAGCUGGGCUUCAAGCCCAAGCGGCCCUAUCCAAGCUCAAGUUGUUAGCUAAGGUGCUUCCCUAGACCCCAGCUUGAAGUGGCAGUACAAAACGAAAGUGAGUCUUUCCCCCUCCCCAAAGGAAGGGACUGUGUGACCUGGAGAGUAAGAAGGAAGAUCCGUGAGAGGAAGAACUAAAGGGGUCGGGAUGAGAGACUUUAGGAACUGCUGGAUGAGAGUGGUGGUAACUGCUCGUUUCUCUUCCUCUCAAGCUACUCAGCUCCUGUUCUUCACGUGGACAAGUGUAACUGAGGCUCACCCUCUCCAGCCUGCAGGAGGUUUGUGCAAGCCCACACUAUGGCCCUGACAUCACCUCUGUGAGCAACGUGGUACUUUUGCAGAACUACAGUCCUCCAGGGACUUCAAUUUGUAUGGGAAUGACAAGCACAGACGAAAGAAAAGUGAAGUAUAGAAGCUUGCAGGCACCGAUACGAUUCCACAAAGACAUACAAAGUGACUAUUUACAUACGAGUCCAUGAGCUCCUGACCAUCCACGUGUGUGGACAUACGUAAGCAUGCCUGUGUGCCAACGCUUCUUAGAUCUGUUCCAUCAACCUCCAUCCUGGACGUGGCCCAUUUCUUCACACCUACCCAGCCUUCACCAAGGUUUGCUGGCUGUAAUGAUACAGUUCAGCUAGCUGAAGCAGAGAAGGGGUAUUUACUGCAAGGAUCUUGGAGGGUUCCAGAAGAUUCAUGGACCGAGAUGCUGCAGAUCACUGAGGGGCUGGUACCAGGAACGUGAAUCAUCAGAAAGCCAGGCCUCAGUCUCUCACUCACUGAGGCCACAUGGCCACUCUUUUCUGCUUUCCUCAGCACUCCUGCAUUCUGCUCUCUCCCCAGGCCUGAUUUUUCUGCAUUCUGAGCGGUUUGUAAAAGACUGCAACUACACAGUGCCAGAGGCUCUUGUCUUUAAUUCAAAGGAUCAGAAAAAAUUGAUGAAUGCUCUGAAGUCUCUAAUCCCAGUUCCUGGGAGAGAGACUAAUGGCUCAGUCCAGGUCAGGUGUCCAUCCUCCAAUCAGCCACAUCCAGGGGACCAGGGUCACACUGGGGACACAUCAUAAAUGGUGUCCCAAGUCAAAUGGUUUGUUCUCCCUGAAAACCCUUAGCUAAUCUUAUGGGAGAAGUCCCCUCUCCCCUGGGUUCCCAUAGCACUUUAUCUGCCCCUCUCCCAUGGAACUUAUUGCUUCUUACCUUGUGUCAAUAUUGCUGUUAUAAAAAUCUUAUCCACCAUCCCACAUAUCCAUAACUUUCUUGUUCAUUUAUCUUCGUAUAUCUCACAGCUCGUGCAAACCAAAAAUUGAACAUGUGAUCAAUAAGUAGUUUAAAUUAUGAUAAUCUCCAAAUAAAUCAAU